GUCCGUGAUUUUAGCGAUCGAACGAUCCGACGCGUUUCACGCAGCAUCGUUUUACGCGUUAUGCACGACUGUUACAACGGGGCAAAUGAUGACCCACGCAACGAAGUUUCGGGCGCGUAACGUGAGAGGAAUGGUCGAACGAGGGGGUGGGGGGCGGAGGCGGUGGCUCGGAAGACGGAGAAAGAUUGCCCUAAAACGAGACAACCGUGAGUAGAUCGCUUUUAGGAUCAUUAAUUAUCCUAGGAAGCGCGAGAACGUGCAGGAUACUGUGCGCCGCGCGACCAACCGGCCAGCAGGGGCAGGGACGAAAGGGAUGCCGAGGAUGACGACGAGGGAGCGGAAUGGAGAGCAAAGGAGACGGCGAAUGUCGCCACUGCAAACCGAAAUUACCGUCGAAGAUUAAUGAUCGCGAGCUUUAUUACAGGUCGAGGAUCAUAACAAAGAGCAGACUUAUAUGUACCUUAAUUGGCGUUACUACCAAUCCAACCGUAAUAUCUGAUAUGAGACUUUUGGAUUUUGCAAUUAUCGAAACCGUGCGAAGUGUAUACACGCUUUCGUCCAUUUAAAUAUAAUAUAAUAUUAUUGCCGUUAUUAACAAUAUACUGCUUACUGGGAAAUAUUAUGUUCGAAUAUUAUACGGUAUUUGUAUCAUGGCUGUUCGGACGGGAUAGGGAGGAGAUUCUAUCGUCAAUAACGACAAUACUUUUUAUCUUCGAUGUAUCUCUCUCUUUGAUCGAUCGAGUGAAUCGCGAUUAUAGGAAUUUGAUACGAGACGAAGCAAAAUACGAGAUAAUUAAAAAGUUCGAACGUGGGACGAAAUUGGCAAAAGCGCUCGAAAAGCACGCACUGCGAGAAAGACGGCGAUAAGGACGACUUUAAACAAAUAGAAACUGAACGAAAGUGGUAAUGGAAACAUGUCCUUUCUCGCCGAAGGGGGCACACAUUAGUGGCAUUCGAAAAAGAGCUUCGAUGAUUCGAAAUACGAAACGGAACGUAACUCUAUGCGAUUACUAACAUUGAAGGUAUUACGUUACUUAACGGACGAAGAGUCACUGCGUUCACGAAUAUCUCAAGAAUCUGUCGAUGAAUCUUAAGCCGUGUUUGAAGAAAUGAAACUUCAUAUAGAGGAAUUUCUUAAUACGGGAAGGAUCGUCCCGACGUCCGGUCUCUGCGACGAUAUUUCAACAGCCCCCCGUCGACGAUAUACCGAUGCAUCGAUUAAGUUUAACCAGAGCGCUUGCUUUUACGCGAGGCGAAAAGAAGCCUAAUAAAGACGGGAAAGAACGAAGAGAAGAGAGACAACGUUAUACGCGUUGAUGCGUACGCGCAUACGUUCGUUCCUUAAAUAAAUCGCUUCGAGUGACGGAUUGGGGAAGAAGAUUAACGAGCGUCGGUGUGUCGUUCGAUUCGAUACGUCGAAUUAACGCAGGACAGCAACGAGGUUCUCUCGGUAUCGGUUAUUAAUGACUCGGGCCUCUGCCAAUGUAAACCUUGCCGAGCGUUUCGCAUUCGUGACUGUGGAAAGUUUAGAUUAAUCGCGACUGAUAAAUGCUCGCGAUACCGAGACGAUGGAUCGUAUUAUAGUCGAAUGAAUUGCCGUUAAUUAUCACCGAUCGCUUAACAAGCGUAAAGGUUAUGGAAUUAAAAUAAAAGCACCGCUCUUUGAACCAA
This is a long non-coding RNA of Bombus pascuorum, 1671 nucleotides long. RefSeq lists it as uncharacterized. The transcript is spliced from 2 exons. The record is from RefSeq and is a predicted model, not a curated record. Lineage: Eukaryota; Metazoa; Arthropoda; Insecta; Hymenoptera; Apidae.